Molecule: transfer RNA, 72 nt
Filed under: Rhizoctonia solani
Lineage: Eukaryota; Fungi; Basidiomycota; Agaricomycetes; Cantharellales; Ceratobasidiaceae
Description: tRNA-Gln
Rfam family: tRNA
About the family: Transfer RNA (tRNA) molecules are approximately 80 nucleotides in length.
Source: RNAcentral
GGCUCUAUAGUGUAGUGGUUAUCACCUCGGAUUCUGAUUCCGGUAACCGCGGUUCGAGUCCGCGUAGGGCCU